UCAAAUGAGAGUUUGAUCCUGGCUCAGAACGAACGCUGGCGGCGUGCCUAACACAUGCAAGUCGAACGGAGUUAAUCAGCAGCACUAAGCGUAGAGGUAAUGUAGGGGCGUGAAAUA
Molecule: ribosomal RNA, 117 nt
Filed under: Nitrospiraceae bacterium
Lineage: Bacteria; Pseudomonadati; Nitrospirota; Nitrospiria; Nitrospirales; Nitrospiraceae
Description: partial 16S ribosomal RNA
Rfam family: Bacterial small subunit ribosomal RNA
Source: RNAcentral